This is a long non-coding RNA of Amphiprion ocellaris (clown anemonefish), 3228 nucleotides long. The record is from Ensembl. Lineage: Eukaryota; Metazoa; Chordata; Actinopteri; Pomacentridae.
UUUCUUUGACUGGAUGUAUUUUAUUGUAAAGCUAUAAGGAAGGAGUAAUUACAAGAUAUCUUUUCUUUGAUUUGCUCAGCAAAAAUAAAAGACCACAUUUUUUUUAGAAUUCAAACAUGCGAAUGCUGAUCAAAGGAGAACAGAUGAGGCUCAAACAAACACCCAGAAAGAAAAGAAAAGCCAAAGAAGAGCAACAGAAGGAGGGGUAAAUGUACAGUUUGUCCAGAGACGGGAUGAGAACGUAAAGCAGCCACGGUUCUGACUCUUCACUCCUACGGAAACAGAGCCUACGACUUCAACUACAAACUCCUACUGGUAGGUUCAGGGUCAGACUUCCUUCACGGUGCUUGAAUAUAUAGAGUUUUUCAUCUUCUUUUUUUAUUUUAAAAACCUACACUUGCAUGUACAUAAAACUGUACAAAAAACAAGGCAUCACUAGCAGUUUCCUAUAUAAAUAUAACCGACCAACAAUUAGGCUACGAACGUGGAACUUCCUGUAAAGACAAAAGUGACUCGGCGGCUCGGACCUUUUCUUCUUCUAAGUUCAAAAUAAAAAGCAAGAAAAAACCAACCUGAACUCCAUCUUUACACAUACAGAAACUCAAAAUACACAGAUAUAUUUCCUUCAAGAUCACAGAAAAGUAGAUCUAUUAAACCACACGCCAAUUAGAGGAGAAAAUAUCUGUGUUUUUACACCAAAGAGGAGGAAGAAGAAGAAGGAGGAGGAGGAGAAGAUGAAGAAGUAGAACAGAAAGGAGAAGAAGCAGAACAUGGAGAAGAUGGAGAUGAAGGGAAAGAGGACGAAUAAGAAGAAAAAGGAGGAGGAUGAAGAAGAAGGAGAUAAAGAAGGAGAAGAAGAUGAAGAAGGAGAAGAUGAUGAUGGAGAUGAAGAAGAGGAGAAUGAAGAAGAAGAAGGAGAAGAAAAAUAUGCAAAUAAAUUCAUUGAUUUCAUCCUUUCAACGCACGGUUUCCUGAUUUACUGAAAUAUUCUGAUACUUCAAUUGAUUUUAAACUUUACAAAGCUCUUAAAGUUUGUUAAAUUUCAUCUCACAACAUAAAAACACACAGCAGCACUUCAGGAGCUUCAUAAAAUCACUUUUUAUCAAAUAAACACAGUAAAUAUGUCGUUGUCUGAAGAUUUUUAACCAUUUGCUCGUACGUUUUUGCUAAAUGAACUUUAAAAAAAUCACAUUUUUGUUCAUGUUUUAACCAUUUCGUCGCAAUUUCUGAUUCAAAUUCAACCACCAGCUCUGAGAUUUUAGCUUUAUCGUGUUAUUCUGAGGCUAAAUGAACUCUUAUCUCCUCUGAGAAUCCUGUCUGAUAGAGCAAAGAAACAGAAAACACCAACACUACCGCCACCGCCGCCCGGUAAAAAACAGCAACGACCAUUAAUAUUCAUACAGAAUGUCUAUAGCAGUGUUGAUUCCAUAACAUUGAUCAAAAAACAGUGACAACGAAAAUGUAGAAUAUUUAUAAAGUUGUUUCAUGCUCCGGCCUCGGUAUAAUACACAACCAAAAAAACAGCAAAAACCCUCCGCUAACCUGCCAAACCGGACGUUCUCGUGCAAAACGCUCAAUUUUAAACCCCAGAAAUGUGAGAAAUGCUCCCUAAACGUUCCCUAAAUGUUCCCUAAACAUCGACUCUCCAUCAUCAGCAGCUUCAUGUUUUAUUAAAGAUGCACUUUAACCCAUUUUCACUCAAUUAAAUAUACGGAAGGAAGGCAGCCGGUGGAGCAGCUGGAGAACGACUCCUCGGGCUCAGGAGGCGCUUUAGAAAGGCUGGCCAGGUGCAUUAUGGGAAAUGUAGGAUGCAGCAGCAGCUUUGCAGGAAUUAAACGCAAAAAUAAAAUAAAUAAAUCUGACCAGGUGCAUUAUGGGAAAUGUAGGAGGCAGGUCAAAUCAGGAUACUUAACGUGGAGGUUGUAUUUAAGAGGCAAAAUGUUCAACUUUGUCAACUGUUUUUGCAGCAGCUUUUCAGGAAUUUCAAUCAAAAACAAAUCAUAAAUCUGACCAGGUGCAUUGUGGGAAAUGUAGGAUCAAGAUCUACUCGUUAAAGUCAUGUUGAGUUUUUAGCUGCAUUUUUUGUAUUUAAGAGACCAAAUAUGUAACUUCUUCAACUUUUUUGCAGCAGUCUUGCUGAAGUCUGACCAGGAGCUUUCUGGGAAAUGUAGGAUGCAGAUCUACUAGCUAAAAGUCAUGGAACUUUUUAGCAGCUUUUUUUGUAUUUAAGAGCCAAAAUGUUGUACUUCAUCCACUUUUUUUGCAGCAGCAGCUAUCCAGGAAUUUAACUUAAAAAUAAAAUAAAUAAGUCUGACCGUGUAGGAUGGAGGACUAGUUGGUAAAAGUCAAGAUACUUAAUGUGGAGUUUUUAGCUGCAUUGUUUUUCAAUUUUACAGUCAAAAUGUUUGACUUUUCCCACUUUUUCAGCAGCAGCUCUCUGAUCAGGUGCAUUAUGGGAAACACAGGAUGCACAUCUUCUCACUAAAAGAUUUAAGAGCCAAAAUAUUCAACUUUUUCCACUUUUUUCCAGCAAUUUUCCAGGAAUUUAACUAAAAAAAGAAAUCUCACCAGGUGCAUUAUGGGAAAUGUAGGAUGCAGGUUAUAAUCAGGAUACUUUAUGUGGCGUUUUUAUUGUAUUUAAGAGCCAAAAUAUUUGACUUUUUCCUUUUUUUUUGGAGCAGUUUUCCAGGAAUUUAGCUCAAAAAUAAAAUAAGUCUGACCAGGUGCAUUAUGGGAAAUGUAGGAUGCAGAUCUAGCUGUUUAAAGAUUUAAGAACCAAAAUAUUCAACAUUUUUCACUUUUUUUGCUGCAGCUUUCCAAGAAUUUAACUCAAAAAUGGAAGUCUGACCAGGUGCAUUUUGGGAAAUGUAGGAUGCAGAUCUAUUGUAUAAAAGUCUUUGAGAUUUUAGCUGCUUUUUUUGUAUUUAAGAGGCCAAAUGUUCAACUUUUUCCACUUUUUUGCAGCAGUUUUCCAGGAAUUAGUUCCUCCGAGUCACUUGAACUAAAGCUGUGUUUUAUUUCUCCUUUUUCUUCCUGCAGAUAACAAAAUCCCCGAACGUUAAAAAAACAAAAACAACAGCGACUGCACGAGAAGCAGGAACCGGUUCCAGACUAGGAAGAAGGAGAGAAAAGAUGAAUCCAGUGAGUCGUAACGUUACCGACAGACUCUGGACAUCACUGACAGAGUCGCACAGAGGAGGACAAACGCCGAUUUAAAGACAAACCGAC